UGGGGAAUUUUGCGCAAUGGGCGAAAGCCUGACGCAGCAACGCCGCGUGAGUGAUGAAGGCUUUCGGGUCGUAAAGCUCUGUCGAGGGGAAAGAAGUGUAUUGUGGUUAAUACCCGUGAUACUUGACGGUACCCCUAAAGGAAGCACCGGCUAACUCCGUGCCAGCAGCCGCGGUAAUACGGGGGGUGCAAGCGUUGUUCGGAAUUAUUGGGCGUAAAGCGCGUGUAGGCGGUCUGAUUAGUCUGAUGUGAAAGCCCUGGGCUCAACCCAGGAAGUGCAUUGGAUACUGUCAGACUUGAAUAUGGGAGAGGGUAGUGGAAUUCCUAGUGUAGGAGUGAAAUCCGUAGAUAUUAGGAGGAACACCGGUGGCGAAGGCGGCUACCUGGACCGAUACUGACACUGAGGAGCGAAAGUCUGGGGAGCAAACAGG
Molecule: ribosomal RNA, 430 nt
Filed under: uncultured bacterium
Lineage: Bacteria
Description: bacterial SSU rRNA
Rfam family: Bacterial small subunit ribosomal RNA
Source: RNAcentral